Molecule: ribosomal RNA, 178 nt
Filed under: uncultured bacterium
Lineage: Bacteria
Description: partial 16S ribosomal RNA
Rfam family: Bacterial small subunit ribosomal RNA
Source: RNAcentral
GAAGCUGGAAUUGCUAGUAAUGGCAGGUCAGCAUACUGCCGUGAAUACGUUCCCGGGCCUUGUACACACCGCCCGUCACACCAUGAGAGUUGGGAAUACCCGAAGCCUGUGAGCUAACUUAUAGAGGCAGCAGUCGAAGGUAGAAUCAAUGAUUGGGGUGAAGUCGUAACAAGGUAUC